GGAUUGGCAAGCACGUAAUAUAGGGGAAGAGAAGGCAAUGGUGUGACCCGAGGACACAGAUUGUGGACCCAGGCGUUCGUCCCUCUUAUUACCGUGCUUGGAUGCCAUGUGGCGGAUCAUGAUGGUGGUGCUCUCCUCAAGUUGCUAGUGUUCAUACCCCG
This is a long non-coding RNA of Bufo bufo (common toad), 161 nucleotides long. RefSeq lists it as uncharacterized. The transcript has 4 exons. The record is from RefSeq and is a predicted model, not a curated record. Lineage: Eukaryota; Metazoa; Chordata; Amphibia; Anura; Bufonidae.